GAGGGUAUAGCUCAGUGGUCGAGCACAUGCUUAGCAUGCAUGAGGUCCUGGGUUCAGUCCCCAGUACCUCCA
RNAcentral lists this transfer RNA (72 nucleotides) under Camelus bactrianus (Bactrian camel). It matches the Rfam family "tRNA". From Rfam's summary of the family: Transfer RNA (tRNA) molecules are approximately 80 nucleotides in length. Their secondary structure includes four short double-helical elements and three loops (D, anti-codon, and T loops). Lineage: Eukaryota; Metazoa; Chordata; Mammalia; Artiodactyla; Camelidae. RNAcentral also lists the same sequence under 2 other names. The record is from Rfam by way of RNAcentral.